Small nuclear RNA from Heterocephalus glaber (naked mole-rat), 98 nucleotides. Its record names the gene U2. It matches the Rfam family "U2 spliceosomal RNA". Rfam says of the family: U2 is a small nuclear RNA (snRNA) component of the spliceosome (involved in pre-mRNA splicing). Complementary binding between U2 snRNA (in an area lying towards the 5' end but 3' to hairpin I) and the branchpoint sequence (BPS) of the intron results the bulging out of an unpaired adenosine, on the BPS, which initiates a nucleophilic attack at the intronic 5' splice site, thus starting the first of two transesterification reactions that mediate splicing. The record is from Ensembl. Lineage: Eukaryota; Metazoa; Chordata; Mammalia; Rodentia; Bathyergidae.
AUCGUUUCUCGGCCUUUUGGCUAAGAUCAAGUGUAGUAUCUAAUAACUUAAAAUUUUAUACCACAGAGUUUUACUUCAUUUUUGUUAUUGUAGCUUUA